GGCUUCUCUCUCUACUCUAUCUCUUCGGCCCGUCUCUCUCCCUCGUGUACCUCUCUCUCUCCGACGCAAUUGUCUUUCUCCCUCAGCAGUGGCUGUUCAUCCUCUCCACCGUUGACAUCCAUGAGGCACUGUUCACAGAAAUCAAACUCUUCAUUUUGUCACAGAACGUUUGGGCUUCGUUCAGCUUUGUCUGGGUAAGUCCCAACUAUCUAUAUUGUUUGAUGAGAUUUUAAGCUCUGGGCUCUGUGAUUUCUACAAGAAUUAAUUCCACAAUAUUCUGAUUUUACUUGUUCAAAUCAAAGCAAAGGAAGGGACGUUGUUUAUGGAUGGGUAAUUGUCAAAAACGACUUCUGGAAUCUACAUGCUUAUAAUCAAAUUUUGCAGAUUGUCAAUGGUCCACAGUCCACAUUUGAGACUGAGAAUUUUGUAUGUUCUUGUUAGGCUGGUUUUGUUUUACCUCUUCAAUCAUUGUUAGCAUAUGGUUCUCUGGAACUUUUGAAUAAAUUGUUUAAUCAGAUGUCCAAACCGUUGGAAUUAAUAUCUUACUGUCGUAAUGCAUUUCAUUUUCAGGCAAUGUGCAAGGAUAGCCGCAUUGUUCCUGGAGCGGCAGCUACUGAAAUUGAGUUAGCUAAGAGAGUAAAGGAAUUCUCUUUUACAGAAACAUGAUUGGAUCAGUAUGCUAUAGCAAAAUUUGCCGAAAGCUUUGAGAUGGUGCCUAAAACGCUAGCUGAAAAUGCUGGGCUUAAUGCAAUGGAGAUCAUAUCUUCUCUAUAUGCUGAACAUGCAUCAGGAAAUACCAAAGUUGGCCUCGACUU
This is a non-coding RNA of Prunus avium (sweet cherry), 815 nucleotides long. The record is from RefSeq and is a predicted model, not a curated record. NCBI's taxonomy places the organism in Eukaryota, Viridiplantae, Streptophyta, Magnoliopsida, Rosales, Rosaceae.